Asparagus officinalis (garden asparagus) is the source of this 237-nucleotide long non-coding RNA. RefSeq lists it as uncharacterized. The transcript has 2 exons. The record is from RefSeq and is a predicted model, not a curated record. NCBI's taxonomy places the organism in Eukaryota, Viridiplantae, Streptophyta, Magnoliopsida, Asparagales, Asparagaceae.
UAUUCACAUUCACAUCCAACAAUACUAACAUUUACAUUCAUCGAUUCACAUCCAACAAUAUUAACAUUUAACAAUUCACAUAUAUACAUAAUCAGGAGGUCAUAAUAUGUUCAACACAAUCCAAAAGUUCACAUAAUCAGGAGGUCAUAAUAUGUUCAACACAAUCCAAAAGUUCACAUAAUCAGGAGGUCAUAAUAUGUUUAACACAAUCCAAAAGUCCACAAAAGUUACCAAAAA